GCGGGCAUGGCGGAAUUGGUAGACGCAGCAGGUUUAGGUCCUGCCGCCUUAUAAGCGUGGGGGUUCGAGCCCCUCUGCCCGCACCA
Molecule: transfer RNA, 86 nt
Filed under: Mesorhizobium sp. M7A.F.Ca.CA.004.02.1.1
Lineage: Bacteria; Pseudomonadati; Pseudomonadota; Alphaproteobacteria; Hyphomicrobiales; Phyllobacteriaceae
Description: tRNA-Leu
Rfam family: tRNA
About the family: Transfer RNA (tRNA) molecules are approximately 80 nucleotides in length.
Source: RNAcentral